RNAcentral lists this ribosomal RNA (250 nucleotides) under uncultured bacterium. RNAcentral's name for it is "partial 16S ribosomal RNA". It matches the Rfam family "Bacterial small subunit ribosomal RNA", at positions 524 to 773 of the family's 1533-position model. The record is from RNAcentral.
CACGUGGGAGGCGAGCGUUGUCCGGAUUCAUUGGGCGUAAAGAGCGCGCAGGCGGUUUGGCAAGUCGGAUGUGAAAUCCCGCGGCUCAACCUCGGGACUGCAUCCGAAACUGCCCGACUAGAGGUAGGUAGGGGAGAUCGGAAUUCCUGGUGUAGCGGUGAAAUGCGCAGAUAUCAGGAGGAACACCGGUGGCGAAGGCGGAUCUCUGGGCCUUACCUGACGCUCAGGCGCGAAAGCUAGGGGAGCGAAC